UGGGGAAUAUUGCACAAUGGGCGAAAGCCUGAUGCAGCAACGCCGCGUGAGUGAUGAAGGUCUUCGGAUUGUAAAGCUCUGUCUUUUGGGACGAUAAUGACGGUACCAAAGGAGGAAGCCACGGCUAACUACGUGCCAGCAGCCGCGGUAAUACGUAGGUGGCGAGCGUUGUCCGGAUUUACUGGGCGUAAAGGGUGCGUAGGCGGAUGUUUAAGUGAGAUGUGAAAUACCCGGGCUUAACUUGGGUGCUGCAUUUCAAACUGGAUAUCUAGAGUGCAGGAGAGGAGAAUGGAAUUCCUAGUGUAGCGGUGAAAUGCGUAGAGAUUAGGAAGAACACCAGUGGCGAAGGCGAUUCUCUGGACUGUAACUGACGCUGAGGCACGAAAGCGUGGGUAGCAAACAGGAUUAGAUACCCUGGUAGUCCACGCCGUAAAACNGAUGAGUAC
This 446-nucleotide ribosomal RNA is filed under the name uncultured bacterium. RNAcentral's name for it is "partial 16S ribosomal RNA". It matches the Rfam family "Bacterial small subunit ribosomal RNA", at positions 355 to 816 of the family's 1533-position model. The record is from RNAcentral.